Molecule: ribosomal RNA, 256 nt
Filed under: uncultured bacterium
Lineage: Bacteria
Description: partial 16S ribosomal RNA
Rfam family: Bacterial small subunit ribosomal RNA
Source: RNAcentral
UACGUAGGGGGCAAGCGUUUGUCCGGAAUCAUUGGGCGUAAAGAGCGUGUAGGCGGCUCGGUAAGUCCGCUCUGAAAGCCCGGGGGCUCAACCCCCGGGAGGCGGGCGGAUACUGUCGGGCUAGAGUCCGGAAGAGGCGAGUGGAAUUCCUGGUGUAGCGGUGAAAUGCGCAGAUAUCAGGAGGAACACCAAUGGCGAAGGCAGCUCGCUGGGACGGUACUGACGCUGAGACGCGAAAGCGUGGGGAGCAAACAGG